GACGAACGCUGGCGGCGUGCUUAACACAUGCAAGUCGAACGCUGAAGCUCAGCUUUUGUUGGGUGGAUGAGUGGCGAACGGGUGAGUAACACGUGAGUAACCUGCCUCCUUCUUUGGGAUAACGCCCGGAAACGGGGGCUAAUACUGGAUAUUCACUGGUCUUCGCAUGGGGGUUGGUGGAAAGGGUUUUUCUGGUGGGGGGUGGGCUCGCGGCCUAUCAGCGUGUUGGUGGGGUGAUGGGCUACCAAGGCUUUGACGGGUAGCCGGCGUGAGAGGGUGACCGGUCACAUGGGGACUGAGAUACGGCCGAGACUGCUACGGGAGGCAGCAGGGGGGAAUAUUGCACAAUGGGCGCAAGCCUGGUGCCGCGGCGCCGCGUGAGGGAUGGGGGCCUUCGGGUUGUGAACCUCUUUCGCGCAUGGUCAAGCCGCAACAAUGGUUGUGGUGAGGGUAGUGGGUAAAGAAGCGCCGGCUAACUACGUG
This 483-nucleotide ribosomal RNA is filed under the name uncultured bacterium. Its description in RNAcentral is "partial 16S ribosomal RNA". It matches the Rfam family "Bacterial small subunit ribosomal RNA", at positions 28 to 507 of the family's 1533-position model. The record is from RNAcentral.